Oryza sativa Japonica Group (Japanese rice) is the source of this 3272-nucleotide non-coding RNA. Lineage: Eukaryota; Viridiplantae; Streptophyta; Magnoliopsida; Poales; Poaceae. The record is from RefSeq and is a predicted model, not a curated record.
AAGAAUGAAGAGUCACGCAUUAAAUAUGAGAAAAUCAUUAAGAUGAUAGGUUGUUGGAUUGAAAUAUGCGUAGCAAAAAUAAAAUUUUCAGAUUUAGAAAUAUGACUAUCAAAAGUAGAUGAAUGGAGUAAAUUAAACAGAAAGAGUGUACUGAACCUCUAUCAAUCAUAAAUACUCCAUUUAAUGCUCCAUUUCCUCGAAAAAAAUAAUGCUCCAUUUCCUCGAAAAAAUAAUGCUCCAUUUAUGUGCUAAAAUGAACUAAUAGUAAUGGAAUCUCAAAAAAUUACCCAUGCGUUUAACUAUUCUAAGCAAAUAUUUUUUUCCCAGAGAGAGAGAGAGAGAGAGAGAGAGAGAGAGAGAGAGAGAGAGAGAGAGAGAGAGAGAGAGAGAGAUGUGGUCACGUGCAAGUUGCAACUAUACGUUGCUAGCUAGCUAGAACCCAUACGGAUCGAUGGAACGAAUUUAAAGAGGUCAUCCGCCACCAGCACGUACAUAGCUACACGUUUGUUGACCGCCCCCUUGACCUUCAACGAAUUCCACCGGUUUUAGAUAGACAUGGUUAGAUGUAUUAGUCACUUCGUUAGUUUACUCUAAAGUUUAUAUCGAUAAUGCUAUAUAUAAAUGUAGUAUUAUAUACCGUAUGUUUCAAAUCUCAUUUUCCACAGCUUUGAUUUUUUCCCAAACACAUAAAAUAAUUGCAUGUCAAUAUACUAGGAGAGAGCAAUAUUUAGUACACAAUGUUACACAGCUCUAACAAAUAGAUUGUAAUGAUUGGCUUGUAAGUUAUAGGUAAGGAUUAAGUCAUAAGAAGAGGUUGUUCCAUAGUUGUUGUCAUAUAAGUGUUUUGUGGUUUGGAUAAAAUUUCCUUUCACUUGAGACAAGUUAUUUUUGCCAUGUUUGCAGUUAAUGUUGUUGCCAUUUCUCAAGAACCGGCGAGAGAAAAACAUUUUAUCUCUACCGAGUGUGCAAGAUAUAUAUUUAAUAUCAACACAAGAGAAAAUAUAGACACACUAGCUAAUUUAUCACACAUGAAAUAAAAUUAUAUGUCCAAACCAAGAGGAAAAAAAACAUGGAACAGUAGGGCACUGAUGGCGCCGGGAAAGCAAAGCUAUUGGCUGCAAGCAUGACCGUGGUUGUCGGCCGGCCGGCGACCUAAAGGGUGAGAGCUGAGCUAGUUUGGAGGAGUAGCAGAGGGUAGUUGACUGCUGGGCCGGAAAUAAAUGAGAGGAGAAGGAGAAGACGACUCAACAGUCAACAAAUUAAGCGAAGAUGUGUACUCGAUCCCUUCGUUCAAAAUAAAUCGAUGGCAUAUUCUAAUAAACGAAUCUAAACAUACUCACAUCUUAAUUAAUGGAAGUCUAGACAUGGUAAGAGAAAUUAAUAUACCGAUCAAAAUUGUACGUACGUAUGUAAUCGUGUGUAGAUGACCGUGUCAAUGCGUCCUUUGCUAACAUGUGAAACGUAGUAGCAGAUCAGGAUGUAUACGUAUAUAUACUUUCUAAAGAAAUAGAAGCCCAUUUAUUUCACCAAACUUCUUUUUCGGAUUUGCUAUCCUACUGUCAACAGUUUUCAGGGAUGAAAACUUUUAAAUUUUAAACCGUCCAAUAUGCUUUGAGAUUUGUGCUGGUGGAGGAAAAUGGAAAAAAAAAUCAGAUGCUCACAUCAAGGAUUGAACUCGAGACCUGCAGCUUGCAUGCUCAUUCAACUAACCAGUUGCUCCAUCGUAAUUUUUCAAUGUUAUAUCUGAGUUACAGAUUAUUUAUAUUGUAGUUACGUAGUAGUUAAAAUGUAACUACAUUGCAAUUACACAGUAGUUACAUCUGAAAGUUUUUCAUUGAAAAAACUGUCGAAUGUUGUAUAGCUUCUUCCCCCUUUUUUUUUCACCGAAUCCCUUAACCCAAAAGAAUUUCUAGCUAGGCUCCUUUUGCACCCCCCCCCCAACUAGUUAGAAUAAUCUUUUAGUUUUGCAAUAAAAUUUGCUAGGGUUGAUAGUGCAUUAUAACUAAUUAUAUCUCAAUAUCUUUUAUGUUGAAUAAUCCCACAUUAGUUGUGGAAGGAUAAGGGAUCUAAUAUAUAAGUGGAUAAGCCUCUCACCUUAUUGGCUAGAUUUUAGGAUGGGAAAGACUCUUUACGAUCCUAUAUUAUACUUUUUACUAUUUAUAUAAGUUGAAAGAACUGAGACUGCUUUAGACAUAGAGGUUUUAAAUUGCAAGCAAACAGUCAAAGAAAAUUUUGAUAGUUGUAUCAUCUAGGACUACAAAAUUUCAGCAUAAAGUACAACUAGUCUAAAGAGAAACAAAGAAAAGAAAUUAUACCGAGUAGUAAGUGAAUCAUUUUUAAGUGAUCCAACAGAAUAAUUUAGAAAGUAAAAUAGAUUUUUUUUUCAUUUUGAAAGAACUCCUGGAAAACCCCAUAAAAAUGCAAAUGCCAUAGAGCAAACAGCAGCAUGCAUGCAAGAUCUAAUAUAGUUUAAUGCUGCUAAAAAUAUCUGAUUUUCAUGAGUGCGUGUUGGUUGGGCAGAUUAGCUGAUGAUGAUGCUGCCUAGAUAGAUAGCCACACCACCUGUAGCUGUCAUGAGGAUAACAUGACAUAUGUACGCAUGAUGAAUAUGGAGUAUGGUUGUUAGGUUGGAGAGAUGAUCCACCACAAUUGACAAAUUGGAGCCGUGGUAAAUUUGCUUGCGUGAGCAUAUAUCUUGUAUGGAAUGGAUAUUGUUCCUUCUUGAGCCAUAAAUUUAAGAGGAAAACCCUGAGGCGUUGGGACGUUGUUGCAAAAUGUCUUUCUUCUCUCUUUGAUGGUGUUCUUCAGUGAAAACUAUGUCCUGAUCUCCUAGAUGGGUAGCGGCGAUGCUCUCAACGUCAUAUCCUCCCUAGAGAUCAUGCAUGUGCAAGACCUAGAAGAAUUAAACGACCUUUGAUUUUAGUUUGGCAAAUAAUGCAUGGAAUCCAGCGGCUAUAUACGCUUCCUACAAGAAGAAGUUUUUCAAAAGAAGAAAACACACACCUAAGCUAGAAGAAGAUGGUUAGUCAUGCAAUAUUAAAUGAUCAGGUUGUUAGUUGAAGCAAAUAUGUACAGUAUUAAUAUGUGCAUGCAUAUGGGGCUGGACGGAAAAACAAGAGGAGCUAGCUGGAGUACUAUAGCUAGCAAGUCCACAUGACCACGAGAUUAAUUAGUAUAUAUGUAGAAAAAGGUUUGGUCAAAUACAUUCAGAAGAAGAUAUAAUAUCUAUGUAUGCGUUCCAAAAAUAAUUAACAGGUUUAAAUUAAUGUUUA